GACGAACGCUGGCGGCGUGCUUAACACAUGCAAGUCGAACGGAAAGGCCCUGCUUUUGUGGGGUUCUCGAGUGGCGAACGGGUGAGUAACACGUGAGUAACCUGCCCUUGACUUUGGGAUAACUUCAGGAAACUGGGGCUAAUACCGGAUAGGAUCUCCUGCUGCAUGGUGUUGGUUGGAAAGUUUCGGCGGUUGGGGAUGGACUCGCGGCUUAUCAGCUUCAUUGUGGGGUAGUGGCUUACCAAGGCUUUGACGGGUAGCCGGCCUGAGAGGGGGACCGGCCACAUGGGGACUGCGAGAGGGACCAGACUCGUACGGGAGGCAGCAGGGGGGAAUAUUGCACAAUGGGCGGGAGCCUGAUGUAGCAACGCCGCGUGCGGGAUGACGUGCUUCGGGGGGUAAACAGCUUUCGCCUGUGACGAAGCGUGAGUGACGGUAAUGGGUAAAGAAGCACCGGCUAACUACGUG
RNAcentral lists this ribosomal RNA (468 nucleotides) under uncultured bacterium. RNAcentral's name for it is "partial 16S ribosomal RNA". It matches the Rfam family "Bacterial small subunit ribosomal RNA", at positions 28 to 507 of the family's 1533-position model. The record is from RNAcentral.